UAACAGUUAGAAAUGACUGCUAAUACCGCAUAAGCGCACAGGACCGCAUGGUCCGGUGUGAAAAACUCCGGUGGUAUGAGAUGGACCCGCGUCUGAUUAGUUAGUUGGCGGGGUAGCGGCCCACCAAGACGACGAUCAGUAGCCGACCUGAGAGGGUGACCGGCCACAUUGGGACUGAGACACGGCCCAAACUCCUACGGGAGGCAGCAGUGGGGAAUAUUGCACAAUGGGGGAAACCCUGGUGCAGCGACGCCGCGUGAGUGAAGAAGUAUUUCGGUAUGUAAAGCUCUAUCAGCAGGGAAGAAGUUGACGGUACCUGAGUAAGAAGCCCCGGCUAACUACGUGCCAGCAGCCGCGGUAAUACGUAGGGGGCAAGCGUUAUCCGGAUUUACUGGGUGUAAAGGGAGCGUAGACGGCAGUGCAAGUCUGAAGUGAAAGCCCCGGGCUUAACCCGGGAACUGCUUUGGAAACUGUACGGCUGGAGUGCUGGAGAGGUAAGCGGAAUUCCUAGUGUAGCGGUGAAAUGCGUAGAUAUUAGGAGGAACACCAGUGGCGAAGGCGGCUUACUGGACAGUAACUGACGUUGAGGCUCGAAAGCGUGCGGAGCAAACAGGAUUAGAUACCCUGGUAGU
RNAcentral lists this ribosomal RNA (632 nucleotides) under uncultured bacterium. RNAcentral describes it as "bacterial SSU rRNA". It matches the Rfam family "Bacterial small subunit ribosomal RNA", at positions 144 to 794 of the family's 1533-position model. The record is from RNAcentral.